Long non-coding RNA from Oncorhynchus tshawytscha (Chinook salmon), 450 nucleotides. The record is from Ensembl. Lineage: Eukaryota; Metazoa; Chordata; Actinopteri; Salmoniformes; Salmonidae.
AAAUAAUUGUGAGCUUCCCUUCGUUCUUCCGGUUAUGUAUGUUGUUGAAAAGAAAAGACGAAUGCCUGGGGAAAACAAAACACUACGAAUACGGAUAGUGAAAGAUGAGUUCUCAGCCAUUUUCUACAGCUGGAAUGCCUGCUCAGAGUAAUCCUGGUGGAAAGCCGGUCUCCAUCAAUCAGUCAUCCAAACAGCCAGGUUAACAUUUAUAUUGAAUAUUGCGUGUUCCUAAUGGCAUACUAUUCCCUAUAUCAGGGGUUCUCAAACUUUUUGGGGCCAGGGUCCCCUUUUGUGAUACUAAAUUCAUCAGGGACCCCCUCAUAAUCAGAACACAACUCAAGUAAGGUAAUAUAUCAAAUAAAUAGCUUACAAGGAGUUUUACGACGGCCAGACAAACCAAGUCUUGGAGUGUGGGAAGAAACAUUUUAAAGGCCCACCUCUUGGCAUCGG